Molecule: ribosomal RNA, 1552 nt
Filed under: Salmonella enterica subsp. enterica
Lineage: Bacteria; Pseudomonadati; Pseudomonadota; Gammaproteobacteria; Enterobacterales; Enterobacteriaceae
Description: bacterial SSU rRNA
Rfam family: Bacterial small subunit ribosomal RNA
Source: RNAcentral
AAAUUGAAGAGUUUGAUCAUGGCUCAGAUUGAACGCUGGCGGCAGGCCUAACACAUGCAAGUCGAACGGUAACAGGAAGCAGCUUGCUGCUUUGCUGACGAGUGGCGGACGGGUGAGUAAUGUCUGGGAAACUGCCUGAUGGAGGGGGAUAACUACUGGAAACGGUGGCUACUACCGCAUAACGUCGCAAGACCAAAGAGGGGGACCUUCGGGCCUCUUGCCAUCAGAUGUGCCCAGAUGGGAUUAGCUUGUUGGUGAGGUAACGGCUCACCAAGGCGACGAUCCCUAGCUGGUCUGAGAGGAUGACCAGCCACACUGGAACUGAGACACGGUCCAGACUCCUACGGGAGGCAGCAGUGGGGAAUAUUGCGCAAUGGGCGAAAGCCACAUGCAGACAUGCCGAGUGUAUGAAGAAGGCCUUCGGGUUGAAAAGUACUCUCAGCGGGGAGGAAGGUGAUGCCGUAAAAACGAUAAGCAAUUAGAGUGACACGCAGAAGAAGCACCGGGAUACUUCGUGCCAGCAGCCGCGGUACUCCGGAGGGUGCAAGAGUUAAUCGGAAUAACUGGGCGUAAACCGCGCGCAGUCUGUCUGUCAAGUCGGAUGUGAAAUCCCCGGGCUCAACCUGGGAACUGCAUUCGAAACUGGCAGGCUUGAGUCUUGUAGAGGGGGGUAGAAUUCCAGGUGUAGCGGUGAAAUGCGUAGAGAUCUGGAGGAAUACCGGUGGCGAAGGCGGCCCCCUGGACAAAGACUGACGCUCAGGUGCGAAAGCGUGGGGAGCAAACAGGAUUAGAUACCCUGGUAGUCCACGCCGUAAACGAUGUCUACUUGGAGGUUGUGCCCUUGAGGCGUGGCUUCCGGAGCUAACGCGUUAAGUAGACCGCCUGGGGAGUACGGCCGCAAGGUUAAAACUCAAAUGAAUUGACGGGGGCCCGCACAAGCGGUGGAGCAUGUGGUUUAAUUCGAUGCAACGCGAAGAACCUUACCUGGUCUUGACAUCCACGGAAGUUUUCAGAGAUGAGAAUGUGCCUUCGGGAACCGUGAGACAGGUGCUGCAUGGCUGUCGUCAGCUCGUGUUGUGAAAUGUUGGGUUAAGUCCCGCAACGAGCGCAACCCUUAUCCUUUGUUGCCAGCGGUUAGGCCGGGAACUCAAAGGAGACUGCCAGUGAUAAACUGGAGGAAGGUGGGGAUGACGUCAAGUCAUCAUGGCCCUUACGACCAGGGCUACACACGUGCUACAAUGGCGCAUACAAAGAGAAGCGACCUCGCGAGAGCAAGCGGACCUCAUAAAGUGCGUCGUAGUCCGGAUUGGAGUCUGCAACUCGACUCCAUGAAGUCGGAAUCGCUAGUAAUCGUGGAUCAGAAUGCCACGGUGAAUACGUUCCCGGGCCUUGUACACACCGCCCGUCACACCAUGGGAGUGGGUUGCAAAAGAAGUAGGUAGCUUAACCUUCGGGAGGGCGCUUACCACUUUGUGAUUCAUGACUGGGGUGAAGUCGUAACAAGGUAACCGUAGGGGAACCUGCGGUUGGAUCACCUCCUUACCUUAAAGAA